Molecule: ribosomal RNA, 369 nt
Filed under: uncultured bacterium
Lineage: Bacteria
Description: bacterial SSU rRNA
Rfam family: Bacterial small subunit ribosomal RNA
Source: RNAcentral
GACGAACGCUUGCGACGUGCCUAAGAAAUGCAAGUCGAACGGGGGGAGCAAUCCCCUAGUGGCGAACGGUCGCGUAACACGUGGGCAACCUGCCUCGAAGCGGGGGACAACAAUCCGAAAGGAUUGCUAAUACCGCAUGUGAAUUGCUCCGGCAUCGGAGAGGAUUCAAAGCCGCAAGGCACUUCGAGAUGGGCCCGCGGCCUAUCAGCUUGUUGGUGGGGUAACGCCUACCAAGGCGACGACGGGUAGCUGGUCUGAGAGGACGAUCAGCCGGAUUGGGACUGAGAUACGGCCCAGACUCCUACGGGGGCAGCAAUUAGGAAUCUUGCGCAAUGGGCAAAGGCCUGACGCAGCGACGUCGCGUGAAGG